AACGAACGCUGGCGGCAUGCCUAACACAUGCAAGUCGAGCGCUCCCAGCAAUGGGGGAGCGGCGGACGGGUGAGUAACGCGUAGGAACGUAUCCUGAGGUGGGGGAUAACCCUGGGAAACUAGGGCUAAUACCGCAUGAUGGCGAGAGCCCAAAGAUUUAUCGCCUUGGGAGCGGCCUGCGUCUGAUUAGCUUGUUGGUGGGGUAACGGCCUACCAAGGCGAUGAUCAGUAGCUGGUCUGAGAGGAUGAUCAGCCACACUGGGACUGAGACACGGCCCAGACUCCUACGGGAGGCAGCAGUGGGGAAUAUUGGACAAUGGGCGAAAGCCUGAUCCAGCAAUGCCGCGUGGAUGAAGAAGGUCUUCGGAUUGUAAAGUCCUUUCGGCGGGACGAUGAUGACGGUACCCGCAGAAGAAGCCCCGGCUAACUUCGUG
This 434-nucleotide ribosomal RNA is filed under the name uncultured bacterium. RNAcentral's name for it is "bacterial SSU rRNA". It matches the Rfam family "Bacterial small subunit ribosomal RNA", at positions 29 to 507 of the family's 1533-position model. The record is from RNAcentral.